Molecule: ribosomal RNA, 431 nt
Filed under: uncultured bacterium
Lineage: Bacteria
Description: bacterial SSU rRNA
Rfam family: Bacterial small subunit ribosomal RNA
Source: RNAcentral
GACGAACGCUGGCGGCGUGCCUAACACAUGCAAGUCGAACGGAACUGUUUUGAAAGAUUUCUUCGGAAUGAAUUUGAUUUAGUUUAGUGGCGGACGGGUGAGUAACGCGUGAGUAACCUGCCUUCAAGAGGGGGAUAACAUUCUGAAAAGAAUGCUAAUACCGCAUGACAUAUCGGAAUCACAUGGUUUUGAUAUCAAAGAUUUUAUCGCUUGAAGAUGGACUCGCGUCCGAUUAGUUAGUUGGUGAGGUAACGGCUCACCAAGACCGCGAUCGGUAGCCGGACUGAGAGGUUGAACGGCCACAUUGGGACUGAGACACGGCCCAGACUCCUACGGGAGGCAGCAGUGGGGGAUAUUGCGCAAUGGGGGCAACCCUGACGCAGCAACGCCGCGUGAAGGAUGAAGGUUUUCGGAUUGUAAACUUCUUUUAU